GAAAGCAGUGGCCCCAGGGAGGGCAGUUGACUUAGAAGCAGAAGCUUCCCUAGGGAGGCUUCUGGCCUAGGGAAGCUUCUGGCCUAGGGAAGUUUUGACUUAGGGAAAGCAGUGGCCCUAGGGAGGGCAGUGGACUUAGGGACGGUAGUGAACCUAGGGACGGUAGUGGCCCCAAAGCAGAAGCUUCCCUAGGGAGGCUUCUGGCCUAGGGAGGCUUCUGGCCUAGGGAGGCUUCUGGCCUAGGGAGGCUUCUGACCUAGGGAGGCUUCUGGCCUAGGGAGGCUUCUGGCCUAGGGAGGCUUCUGGCCUAGGGAGGCUUCUGGCCUAGGGAGGCUUCUGGCCUAGGGAGGCUUCUGGGCUUCUGGCCUAGGGAGGCUUCUGGCCUAGGGAAGUUUUUGACUUAGGGAAAGCAGUGGCCCUAGGGAGGGCAGUGGACUUAGGGACGGUAGUGAACCUAGGGAGGCUUCUGACCUAGGGAGGCUUCUGCCUAGGGAAGCUUCUGGCCUAGGGAGGCUUCUGGCCUAGGGAGGCUUCUGUGGCCUAGGGGGGAGGCUGGAUAGGGAAGUUUUUCUUAGAGAGGUAGACGGGCAAAGGCCCCCAGGCUUUCCCUGCAUUUUGAUCACGCACGACGACGCUUGGUGUCUUCUGCUACUACCAUCAAUCCAUCAGAUAAUGUCUAUUAGCUGCUAAACAAUCCGACCAGUAUGAAGA
RNAcentral lists this small RNA (711 nucleotides) under Histoplasma capsulatum var. duboisii H88. RNAcentral's name for it is "Histoplasma capsulatum H88 hypothetical RNA". Lineage: Eukaryota; Fungi; Ascomycota; Eurotiomycetes; Onygenales; Ajellomycetaceae. The record is from RNAcentral.